GUCAGCAGCUUCCUGUGUUUCUACGGGAGCAACCUUACUUGCUGGAGAUACUGUGGUGCUGCAUCAUGUGUGACAGGAGUUACCGGUAAGCACCACCAGUGCUGCAAGUACAGUUAAAAAUGGUUUUGAAUUACAUGCUGCUUGAAUCAGUGCUUCAGUACCAACUGAGGGUUACAGUCCAUGCAUCUGAUGGACUCUCACCCAUGAAAGCCUGUGCAAUGGUCAAAUUUAUUAGUUUUUAAAGUGCCAUGAAGUUCCUUGUUGUUUUUUUAGCAACAGACUCUCAUGGCUAGCCCUCUGAAAUCUCUUCGUGAAGUAAGCCAGCGUGUCAGGGAGAAAGCUACUGUGAUCCUUACCUUACAGUCCUUAUAGUGUGUGAAUUUUUAUGUAGGAGAGCAUUCCAUUAUGUGCUUGCCUUGUUUGCAUACUGACAUGGUACGAUCCUGGGAGGGCUGUACUAAGUGUUUGUUUUCUCCUGAACGCAUGCACAUGUGUCUUUUUGUGUGCUGAGAUUUGAAGUUUGGCAUAGGAAACUGUGUGCCAAUUGCAAGUGCCUGUGUUUCAUCCUAUGAAUAUGUAUACUUAUGUCACACAUGUGUUCACUUCAGCAGCAAAAUGGGCAUUUUAUUUUAUUUUGUUCACUUGCAGUGUUGCCUUAUCCCAUAUAUGCCCACCCAACAGAUUCAAUCUGUGAAACUACAGCUGCCACAUAAUACUCUUCCUGCACUUAUAAGAAAUCAAUCUUUCAGUGUAGCCGCACCUACAAUUUCACUUUGGAACUCCCUGCCUAUUGACAUCAGGCAUAUGCCUUCGCUCUUUUUCAGUGCCUAUUAUUUUUUAAAAAUGUUUAGGCAAUCCUAGCCAGACCCGUAAAAGUAAUACCGUAUUUUUCGCCCCAUAGGACGCACUUUUCCCCCUCCAAAAAUGAAGGGGAAAUGUGUGUGCAUCCUAUGGGGCGAAUGCAGGCUUUCGCUGAAGCCUGGAGAGCGAGAGGCAUCGGUGCGCACCGACCCCUCUCGCUCUCCUGGCUUCAGGAAGCUAUCCGCAAGGAGGUCCUGCCGGGCUUGGGGCAGCUCUGGAGGGCUCCCCGUGCUUCGGGCGAGUGUCCGCAAGCCUUGCGCGCCCGGCAGGAGGUCCCGCCGGGCGCGCGAGGCUUGGGGCAGCAGCCUGCAGCCCGAAGCACGCGGAGCCCUUCAGAGGGUGCCCCGUGCUUCGGGCAGGUGUGCGCAAGGCUUGGGCGGCCGCCGCGGGGGGGGGGAUAUUUUUUUUUAUUCAUUUCCCCCCCCAAAAAAACGAGGUGCGUCCUAUGGGCCGGUGCGCCCUAUAGGACGAAAAAUACGGUAUAUGCUCUAUUUCUUUUUAGCUGUUAUAACUUUAUGUGGAAGGUGGGGCAAACACCCCCUUUUGUUGCCACUUUUGUUAAACAACUUGGAAUCAGAAUCCCUUCUGAUCUACUGCAAAUCACUCAGAGGUCUACCAGUAGAUCCUGAUUUACAUUUUGCCCACUUCUGCAAAUAAGAGAAAUGGAUACUGAGCAAUGAUCCACAUCACUGUCCCCAGAUGAGUCAUACUGGCAGGCCUCAAAGCUAUUAAAAUUGCCCAGCAAGCACAUUGGACUUUUCUUAAAAUUUGUCUCCCCUGAAAGCCAUUGAAGGCUUGCUGAGUUAAAUCGAUAUCUGUCAUGGGCACAGAAUAAAUGACAUAACUGAGGAAACACAAGAAGUGUGUGUCAGAGUGAGAAAUAUUAUAUAGAAAUCUUCUAAUAGAAUCUGCAGGCUCUCCUUUAUGAUUCAUGUCUCUAGCUUUUCCUUGGUCAGGGCAUGACUUGGCCACAGUACUCCAUGCUCUGGUAACUUCCAGACUGGAUUAUUGCAAUGUGCUCUAUGUGGGAUUGUCCUUGAAGAUGGGUCAGAAAUUUCACCUGGUCCAAAAUGUGGUGACUUUGGUUUCCCUGGGCUUCCUAUAACCCCUGUUCUCAAACAGCUGCUUUUGCUGAGAGUUUGUUUCCUGACCCAAUUCAAGGUGAUCUGUUUAAUGUUCUAAACAACUUGGGCUCCAGAUUUCUGAAGGACUGUCUCCUUUCCUAUAGAUACGCCUUAUCCAGAUCAGCAGAGGGGACCCUCUUGGCUGUUCCACCUCCCUCAGAGGGUUGCCGUGGGGGUGGGGAGAGGAGGCUUGCUUGGUAGAUGGCAUUCUCUAUGGUAGCACCUAAGCUGUGAAGAUCAUUCCCAUUGAGGUGUGCCUGGCUUCUUCACUAUGCAGCUUUUGCCAAAUGCUGAAGAUGUACCUCUUUACCCUUGACCCCGAGAUGUGUUUUCACCCUAUUCCUGUGAUUGCAAUUUGUUUUAACAGUUUUCAACUCUGAAUUUUCCAUUGUUGUAACCUGUACUAGGACCUGCUAGUGAGGGGUGGGUAAUAUAAUUAAUGACGUUAACUACUACUACUACUAAUAAUAAUAAUUUGGAUGGCUGCUCUUACUUUGUAGAGAAGAUAGAAAUUUUUUAAAGAGAGAAAUUCUCAGCUCUAUUGAGAUUUAGUUCAAGAGACAGAGUAAGGUAAUAAAAGUAUUAUCAAAGGUUUAAACUCUUGCUGAUGUUAUUAUAAGCCCCAAACAACUUGGGACCAGUCUAUUUAAGGAACUGCCUUAUCCUGUAUGUGCCUGCCAGAUCACAGCAGUCUUCAAGAGAAGCAGAUUUGACCAGGCCACAUACCCCUGAGGUCCCUUUCAUGACCACCUGCAGAAGGGCUUUUCCCCAGCACCUAUUUUGUGAAAUUUAGACACAUGGCAAUCACCUCAAUGCUAUGCCUUAGAUCAGGGUUAGGGCCCUGCAUUCCCUUCCAGUCAACAUUCUGGGGACCAUAUGCCAGUGCUGGGAAGGGCCAGAAGCAAAAGUGGGCAGGGCAGUGAAUGUUAAUUUUACCUUUGUAUAGUAGGCUAGUUUCUACACAUACUUACACACCCUUCUCUACCCUCUGUCCAGAAGAGCAAGGUCAUCAGAGUUCAAGGACACAUUCUAGCCCAGGAAGGUGCGAAGUAGGGCUGGGCAAAGUCCCAUGGACCAGAUAAAGGGACCUGGAGGGUCACCCCUGGGGCUGAGUUAGAUGCUUGCACAAAACUUUGUAUUAAUGCAGGCUUACCCUGUACCUAGACAUGUUGUCUGUACUAUUGCUUUACUAUUUUCCUGCAUUUUAGUUGCAUUUUUUUCAUUAGAAAUAUAAAAAUUCCUCUAUUUCGGUACCAUAUAGAAAUUGAGCAUUGUGAUUGCAUUUUAGUUUUCAUUUAUUUGUUGCAAAUCUUUCAGAGAUAUUUGUUGUUACCUUAUUGCUGCACUUCUCUAUUGAUGCUCUUGACAUUCAUAAUGAUUAGUGAUUGAUGGAAGCUUGAGUGAAGUGCAGUUGGCAGGUAUGGUCUGGUCUCCCUGAGAUCUGGGUGCAAUGAAUUAACUCAUUGAGAGAGGUUCCAGCCAGCUGCUCAGCUUGCCACCUUUUCUCUGUAAAUGCCCUCCAGCUUCCCCACUUUUAUUUCAUUUGAUUGCCCAAGAUCUAGACCACAGGCUUCUUACUUUCCUUCUCAGCCAACAAAAGCUAGGGAGGGGGGCUUCAACUUUUGUAGCUAAAUGCUGCUCCUAAGCAGCUUAUGGUGAGAGCCUGGCUUAAGCUUCAACGAAUGUUAAGAAUGAGCUAUAAAUUGCAGAUCUCAUCAUGCUAGUAUAUAUGUAGAGAGACAAAGCUGAAGAUCUCCUGUUUCCUUUGUCAGCUUCUUUUGGAGGGGAAAAGAAAGCAUAAAUUUGUGCCCAUGCUGAUUGGGUGGCUGUAGGAUGCUGGACACAGAGAUCCUAAUGCAGAAAUAGCAAUGGGUCUUCAACAUCCCUCCUUGCAACUAUGAACGAUUACACCAUUGAUUUUGACAGGUAGGCAGGAUAACCCGCUUGUCAAUCACAUGGUGUUGUAAUGACAUGGAGCUGGCCCACAGAACCAAAAGGUUUCCUUACCCCUGCACUAGAUAUUAAGCUAAACACGUGGCUACUAGUGAGAGCAGCAGUACCUUUCUCAGGUCCCCCCUCUAUGACCUCUUGUUAUAGCUUUUUUUCUGCCCUGGCAUCAUGAUAGCAGGAGACCAUGUGAUGUCAGCUUGGAUUUUAAGAUGCUUUAAACAAAAGAUUCGGAUAAUGGAGCUCCAAGCUCUCAAGCCCUGCUCAGCCAUGUACAUCAUUAUUUUAUUUAUCCCAACUUUUAUAUCCCACCAUUCUGUAGCAGCACAGAAACUUUAAAAAUAUGCAGUGAAACAAGCUGUGAUUCCGUCAGAAAACAAUGGCAAAGAAUGGCAAUAAAAUUGCAACUGCUCCAGCACUAAAGUGCAUCAUCUGGAUACCCUAAUUAAAAAGAAGAAGAAAAGCCCACUGCAAUAAAACCAUUUUCAAUGUGCACUUAAAAGCAGGC
Non-coding RNA from Podarcis lilfordi (Lilford's wall lizard), 4440 nucleotides. The record is from the annotation of a GenBank genome assembly. Lineage: Eukaryota; Metazoa; Chordata; Lepidosauria; Squamata; Lacertidae.